CUAUAGCCAUUAUCUUAUCGCAGAAAAACGUGACCGCGGGGUAAUGAAGACACGUGUCGAGGUUCAAUAUUAUGUAUCUGCCUCCUGAAUGAGUCUGCAUGAAACAUUUUACCUCGCAAUUGACAAUUUGGAACGUCGGCCUGGCGGAUGGCCGGAUGAAGAAGGCCAAACUGAAAAGGAUACCCAGAAGAAGCCCGAUCUCAACGCUGAUGAAAACGCAAAUUGAGAAAGUUCCUACUGCCGCGACAGCGUCCGUCUCUGCAAUGAAAAAUACGCCAGGUCGAUCAUGAACACCACGGCGGUUAUCAGCACCGCCGACAGCGUCGCGCGUGGAAUGUAAUAAAAAUAUGGUGUCAGGAAGCUCAGAGCCAACAACGCCAUGGUUCCUGUAAAAUGCAACGUCGCUUUAUUUUUGCGACACUCACACGCAGUAUGUUGCAGAGGCCGAGCGUCAGCAUCUCCUGCGUCGCGUUGACGGGCGCGCCAGCCGCUGCAAAAGUCACGAGAGCCAGGAGUUUUGGCGUCACGAGUGCCAUCAAAGACGAUGGGCCUAUCGAGACUUCCCUUAUGGUCCCGAAAACGAUGUAGACGAAACCACCGAUGAAACAAGAAUACAGGCCAUACUAAGUGCCUUCGAUUUCGCCGCGCGGUUGGAACACGAAACUUUUCAUGGACGGCCGACGGACAUUUAACGUAGCUUCUGGUUGACCUGGUCGAUCUGUUCGUCGAUCCUCUGGGAGGUACCUCUGAAUUUGUUCGGUU
Molecule: long non-coding RNA, 762 nt
Filed under: Ooceraea biroi (clonal raider ant)
Lineage: Eukaryota; Metazoa; Arthropoda; Insecta; Hymenoptera; Formicidae
Description: uncharacterized LOC105285189, transcript variant X3
Source: RNAcentral